This 798-nucleotide ribosomal RNA is filed under the name uncultured marine microorganism. RNAcentral describes it as "bacterial SSU rRNA". It matches the Rfam family "Bacterial small subunit ribosomal RNA", at positions 8 to 850 of the family's 1533-position model. The record is from RNAcentral.
AGAGUUUGAUCAUGGCUCAGGAUGAACGCUGGCGGUAUGCCUAACACAUGCAAGUCGAACGAUGUCUUCGGACAUAGUGGCGGACGGGUGAGUAACGCGUGAGAAUCUGCCUCUAGGAUGGGGAUAACGGUUGGAAACGACCGCUAACACCCAAUAUGCCGUAAGGUGAAAAAUUUAUUGCCUGGAGAGGAGCUCGCGUCUGAUUAGCUAGUUGGUGGGGUAAGAGCUCACCAAGGCUUCGAUCAGUAGCUGGUCUGAGAGGAUGGGCAGCCACACUGGGACUGAGACACGGCCCAGACUCCUACGGGAGGCAGCAGUGGGGAAUUUUCCGCAAUGGGCGAAAGCCUGACGGAGCAAUACCGCGUGAGGGAGGAAUGCCUUUGGGUUGUAAACCUCUUUUCUCAGGGAAGAAGAUCUGACGGUACCUGAGGAAUAAGUAUCGGCUAACUCCGUGCCAGCAGCCGCGGUAAUACGGAGGAUGCAAGCGUUAUCCGGAAUCAUUGGGCGUAAAGCGUCCGCAGGUGGUUUCCAAAGUCUGCUGUUAAAGACUGGAGCUCAACUCCGGAACGGCGGUGGAAACUUGGAAACUAGAGUUCGGUAGGGGUAGCAGGAAUUCCCAGUGUAGCGGUGAAAUGCGUAGAUAUUGGGAAGAACAUCGGUGGCGAANGCGUGCUACUGGACCGUAACUGACACUCAGGGACGAAAGCUAGGGGAGCGAAAGGGAUUAGAUACCCCUGUAGUCCUAGCUGUAAACGAUGGAAACUAGGUGUGGCUUGUAUCGACCCGAGCCGUGCCGUA